GCAGGCAGAAGAAAGAAUCAGUGAAUCUGAAGACAGGACAGUGAAAAUUAUUGGGACUGAGCAACAAAAGGAAAAAGGAUUUUUUAAAAAUGAACAGACCCUAAGGAACCUGUGGGAUACCAUCAAGUGAACCAGCAUACACACUAUGAGAAUAUUAUUGUAACUUUGGUUUGUAAGCCUACUUUGUGUUUUGUACAUGAUUUAACAGACAACUUCAUAACAAAAUUUAUUUUAUUCAUAAUAAAAAUUAUUAAUCUAUGUUUUUGGGCACACAAUGUAUAAAGAUGUAAUUUUGUGACAUCAAUAACUGAAAGGGGUGGGGAUGGAGCUAUAAAGAGAAGAGAUUUGUAUGUUAUUGAAGUUAAGCUGGCACAUUCAAAUUAUAGUGUUAUAACUUUAGGAUGUUAACUGUAGUCCCCAUGGUAACCACAAAGAAAAUACCUAUAAGAGAUACACAAAAUGAAGUGAGAAGAAUUAAAAUGUUUCACUACAAAAAACCCAAAAAACACAAAAGAAGACAGCAAUUAGGAAAUGAAGGACAAUAAGGCUAUCAGGCAUAUAGAAUAUAAAUAACAAAAUGACAGAAUUAAGUUCCUCUUUACCAGUAAUUACUUUAAAUGUAAAUGGAUUAAACCCUUGACUCAAAAGACAGAGCCUGGCACACGGGGUAAAAACGUAUGACCCAACUAUAUGCUGCCUACAAGAGAUUUUCUUCAGAUCCAGAGGCACAAAUAGUUUGAAAGUGAAAGGACAGAAAAAGAUAUUCCAUGCAAAUAGUAAACCAGAAGACAGCAGGGGUGGCUACACUAACAUCAGACUUUAAAUGAAGGUCGCAUGGCUCCUUAGUGGAAGACCAAGGACUUAGAGAGAACUCCUCCCAGCAAGCAUCCAUCUGGUCCCAGCUGCUUCUGAAUUGCAGUGACCUUUCUGCAGGAUGAGCCUCACUCUCACUCAGACCAGGCGGAGCAACCUGCAUGGUCCCUGGCCAAAGAGGAAAGGGGGUCUCUCAUCACCCUCCUGGCCCUUCCCCCCUCUCCCCUGAGUGGGCAGAUGCCGUCUCGGCAGAUGCCUCCAUCUGGGCCUGGCUGGAGACUUCUCUCUAAGGAUGCCAGGGCUCUUCACAUUUCACACUCCUGAUUGGUAACUGACCCCAACCUGUGCCACUCGGCCUGCCUCCCUGUUCAUCUGUGAACGCAGAACUCCAAGAGUACGAGAGAGGAUGAGGCCCUUUGUGGUCAUCUAGCCAAAACCCUGCAUUUUAUAGGGGGGAAACUGAGGCCCAGGAGAGGAGCGGCUUUCCCAGGCAGGCAGAACCAUCCGCAGAAGGGCUCCUGGCUCCCAAUCUAACGCUCUCCCACCACACCCCUGGUCUGGGCUGCAUGAGCCCUCACCUGCCGACCUCACCACCCCUGGCGGGAACCAUCAACCAUCCCGAAGUCGACACAUCAACACUGACACCCUCUCUCCCUUGAACAAUGUCACCCUUCGCGAGGUGUAUCCACUCUCCUACUUAAACAUGAGAUAACCGAGAGCCAGAGAGCAGGUGGGGGUUGUCCCACGUCAGCUGCUGACCAUUCAGAGAUCAGGACGGCCCCCAGCCUCCCUGCGUCCCAGGACAGAAGCCCUCAAAGGCUUUACGUCCUAUCAUCCUCCUCUGAUCCCUAAGAGGCUGGCGUCCCCGGGCCUGUUGCCCUAGUUACACACGAGAGACGGAGGCUCAGAGAGGCCCAGCCACCUGGGCACCCCCGCACUGCUGCCAGGGGUGAGGAGGGGGUGGGCCAGGCUUCCUGGGGUCCCUCUGGUGCCCUGUCACCCGCACACUGUGACUCGUACAGUCAGGAGGGAACUCGACCAGUGGAGGCGGAGACGAGUCCGGGUUACUCUUCUCACCCAAUGAGGUGUCUGGCGGGGCCGGUGCAGGCCCAGCAGCUCCAAGAUGCCCGUGGGCCCAGCCUCCUCCUCCACCUCCCUCGGCGUCCUCGGUGAGGCCUGCUCUGCGGUCACAGUGCAGCUCCUCUGGCGUCAGGUUCCCUUUCAGGAUGGACAGAGGGACACAGCACAGGACUGAACAAGACCUGGCACCUGCCUGUGAGGCCUGGGGCUGGCCAGGGAGGGGAGGAGCGGGGAGGAAGGAGAGCAAGGAAUUCUCCAGCGAUGGACAGAGGCAUUCCCUGUACAGACAAGAACCUUUUCUGUGACAAGUAACCAAAAUCCAGCUUGGAAGCCACCCGAGCCCAGAUGCCCAGCUGUGCAUCUAUUGAUUCAGAAGGAACCUGGGAGAGGCGCUGACCUGUUGCCGCGUGGAAAGCCUCUGAAGGAUCAGUGACGCAUGAUCGCUGUGGUUUGCGUCCCAGGCUUAUGGUGCACAGGACAACCCCUGGGCUCC
Long non-coding RNA from Equus caballus (horse), 2386 nucleotides. NCBI's taxonomy places the organism in Eukaryota, Metazoa, Chordata, Mammalia, Perissodactyla, Equidae. The record is from Ensembl.